AUUUUUGCCGAAUUCCUUUUUAUUAAUUUUAAUUAAUUAUAUUUCAUUUUUUUUUUUUAUAUACUAAUUUUAUCAUUAUAACUAAUUUUUUAUUAUUAAAAAUUAUUUUUUUAUAUAAAUUUAAAUAUAAAUUUAAAUUUUAAAAUAAAUAAAAUUAUUUAUAAAAAAUUAUAAUUUAUAAAAAAUAUAAAUUUUAAAAUAUUUAAAUAAUUUAUUAAUUAUUAUAAAAAUUUAAUUUAAAGCUUAUCCCCUAAAAUAUUUAAUUAAAUAUAUAAUUUUAUAUAAUAAAUUUAAAAAAAAUUAUUAAAUUAAUUUAAAAUUAAAUUUUUUUCUAAAAAAACUAGAUAUUUUUAAAAACGAUUAACAUUUCAUUUCAAAUUAAUUAUUUAAAAUAAUUAUGUCACAUUAACUUUAAUAAUUAAUUAUCUCUUUUAAAUUCGAGAUAUUUUCAUUUAAAAAUACUUUUUAAUAAACUCUGAUACACAAGAUACAAUAAACUAAAUUUACUUAUAUAAUAAUUAAUUUUUAACUUUAUUUCAAAAUUCUUUCACAAUACUAUUAAACUAUAAAUUAAUAAAUUUUUUUCUAAAAAAUACUUUAACCCCCAUUAAUUAUUUUUUAUAAUUAUUUUUAUUAUUUAUUUUAUUAUAUUAAUUUACCCCCA
This 664-nucleotide ribosomal RNA is filed under the name Colias erate poliographus. RNAcentral describes it as "partial large subunit ribosomal RNA". The record is from RNAcentral. Lineage: Eukaryota; Metazoa; Arthropoda; Insecta; Lepidoptera; Pieridae.